Long non-coding RNA from Lagenorhynchus albirostris (white-beaked dolphin), 470 nucleotides. RefSeq lists it as uncharacterized. NCBI's taxonomy places the organism in Eukaryota, Metazoa, Chordata, Mammalia, Artiodactyla, Delphinidae. The transcript has 3 exons. The record is from RefSeq and is a predicted model, not a curated record.
UGAACCCCACAGUGGUUAGAACCAGGGUCACUGCGCAUCUGCCCGGGGCGGGGGGACCUGGGUCUGACCCUUCCCGGCACAGAGGCCGGAGCGGGGAGGAACCCACUUCACCCCGUCAGAUCAGACCCCAGCCCACAUCACGGGACCCAAGGAGGGGCUGACGGCCGGCACGGGGACUGACUGGCAGGAAGAAGCGGGUAGGACCCGAAGCCUCGCUCAUCAGGAAGGUGGUCCUCCCUGGACACUCCUGUCUACACCCUUGGCCAGAACGGACUCACGUGGGCACCCAGCUGCAGGGCGUCUGGAGGACCUGUGUGUUUAGGGGACACGGGUUCGAGUCCUGGUCUGGGAAGAUCCCACAUGCCGCAGAGCAACUAGGCCCGUGAGCCACAACUACUGAGCCUGCGCGUCUGGAGCCUGUGCUCCACAACCGGAGAGGCCGUGACAGUGAGAGGCCCGCACACCGCGAU